CAGCCGUAAACUAUGCGCGUUAGGUGUAUCGGUAACCACGUGUUACUGAUGUGCCGAAGAGAAAUCGUGAAACGCACCACCUGGGAAGUACGGUCGCAAGGCUGAAACUUAAAGGAAUUGGCGGGGGAGCACCACAACAGGUGGAGCCUGCGGUUUAAUUGGACUCAACGCCGGGAAGCUCACCGGAUAGGACAGCAGAAUGAUUGCCGGGCUGAAGACCCUGCAUGACUAGCUGAGAGGAGGUGCAUGGCGUAGACGUCU
This 261-nucleotide ribosomal RNA is filed under the name uncultured archaeon. RNAcentral's name for it is "partial 16S ribosomal RNA". It matches the Rfam family "Archaeal small subunit ribosomal RNA", at positions 748 to 1009 of the family's 1478-position model. The record is from RNAcentral.